UACAGAGGUGGCAAGCGUUGCUCGGUAUCACUGGGCGUAAAGGGCGUGUAGGCGGAUCGGUAAGUGGGAUGUGAAAUGCCCCGGCUCACCCGGGGACCUGCAUUCCAAACUGCCAGUCUAGAGUAUGGGAGAGGAUGAGGGAAUUCCUGGUGUAGCAGUGAAAUGCGUAGAUAUCAGGAGGAAUACCGAUGGCGAAGGCAGGUCUCUGGGCUGACACUGACGCUCAUGCACGAAAGCGUGGGGAGCAAACAGG
RNAcentral lists this ribosomal RNA (253 nucleotides) under uncultured prokaryote. RNAcentral's name for it is "partial 16S ribosomal RNA". It matches the Rfam family "Bacterial small subunit ribosomal RNA", at positions 524 to 776 of the family's 1533-position model. The record is from RNAcentral.